UAAUGACUGUAUUGAUAGUGGUGUGUU
Molecule: small RNA, 27 nt
Filed under: Bombyx mori (domestic silkworm)
Lineage: Eukaryota; Metazoa; Arthropoda; Insecta; Lepidoptera; Bombycidae
Description: ovarian small RNA-19722
Source: RNAcentral